CCCCUGCAGAUUCCUUAGCUACUGGAUCUAAACAUUGGUCUGCGUGGCUAGAAAGGAGAAAAACUAAAAGUGAAACUGAUGGGGAUUCUUUUGUAACACACAAGUUAGUUUCAAACAAAC
Molecule: small nucleolar RNA, 120 nt
Filed under: Echinops telfairi (small Madagascar hedgehog)
Lineage: Eukaryota; Metazoa; Chordata; Mammalia; Afrosoricida; Tenrecidae
Description: Small nucleolar RNA SNORA61 (ENSETEG00000025567.1)
Source: RNAcentral